This 27-nucleotide non-coding RNA is filed under the name Bombyx mori (domestic silkworm). The record is from RNAcentral. Lineage: Eukaryota; Metazoa; Arthropoda; Insecta; Lepidoptera; Bombycidae.
UCCUUAACUAUGGCUGACAACCAGAAA